ACGUGUGCGGGGGAGGGUGUGGGUGUGGGGGAGGAUGUCAGAGGCUGUCAAGGUGAUGGGCAGGCGUGUGCCAGCUUGCAGGGGGUG
Molecule: microRNA precursor, 87 nt
Filed under: Dasypus novemcinctus (nine-banded armadillo)
Lineage: Eukaryota; Metazoa; Chordata; Mammalia; Cingulata; Dasypodidae
Description: miRNA (ENSDNOG00000043109.1)
Source: RNAcentral